GUGCCAGCCGCCGCGGUAAUACGGGGGGGGCAAGCGUUGUUCGGAAUUACUGGGCGUAAAGGGCUCGUAGGCGGCCAACUAAGUCGGACGUGAAAUCCCCAGGCUCAACUUGGGAACUGCGUCCGAUACUGAUUGGCUUGAAUCCGGGAGAGGGAUGCAGAAUUCCAGGUGUAGCGGUGAAAUGCGUAGAUAUCUGGAGGAAUACCGGUGGCGAAGGCGGCAUCCUGGACCGGCAUUGACGCUGAUGAGCGAAAGCUAGGGGAGCAAACGGGAUUAGAAACCCGUGUAGUCC
RNAcentral lists this ribosomal RNA (292 nucleotides) under uncultured bacterium. RNAcentral's name for it is "partial 16S ribosomal RNA". It matches the Rfam family "Bacterial small subunit ribosomal RNA", at positions 505 to 796 of the family's 1533-position model. The record is from RNAcentral.